This 200-nucleotide ribosomal RNA is filed under the name uncultured bacterium. RNAcentral's name for it is "partial 16S ribosomal RNA". It matches the Rfam family "Bacterial small subunit ribosomal RNA", at positions 28 to 220 of the family's 1533-position model. The record is from RNAcentral.
GACGAACGCUGGCGGCGUGCCUAAUACAUGCAAGUAGAACGCUGAAGGAGGAGCUUGCUUCUCUGGAUGAGUUGCGAACGGGUGAGUAACGCGUAGGUAACCUGCCUGGUAGCGGGGGAUAACUAUUGGAAACGAUAGCUAAUACCGCAUAAGAGUAGAUGUUGCAUGACAUUUGCUUAAAAGGUGCAAUUGCAUCACUA